Pongo abelii (Sumatran orangutan) is the source of this 148-nucleotide unclassified non-coding RNA. It matches the Rfam family "Metazoan signal recognition particle RNA". From Rfam's summary of the family: The signal recognition particle (SRP) is a universally conserved ribonucleoprotein. It is involved in the co-translational targeting of proteins to membranes. The eukaryotic SRP consists of a 300-nucleotide 7S RNA and six proteins: SRPs 72, 68, 54, 19, 14, and 9. The record is from Ensembl. Lineage: Eukaryota; Metazoa; Chordata; Mammalia; Primates; Hominidae.
GCCGGGCGUGGUGGCGGACGCCUGUAGUCCCAGCUACUCUGGAGGCUGAGGCAGAAGAAUUGCUUGAACCUGGGAGGCGGAGGUUGCAGUGAGCCAAGAUUGCGGCACUGCACUCCAGCCUGGGUGACAGAGCAAGACUCCGUCUCAA